This 265-nucleotide ribosomal RNA is filed under the name uncultured archaeon. Its description in RNAcentral is "partial 16S ribosomal RNA". It matches the Rfam family "Archaeal small subunit ribosomal RNA", at positions 714 to 982 of the family's 1478-position model. The record is from RNAcentral.
AGACGUCUACAUUAGAUACCCCUGUAGUCCUAGCCGUAAACGAUACUCGCUAGGUGUCGGCCACGGUGCGACCGUUGUCGGUGCCGUAGGGAAGCCGUGAAGCGAGCCACCUGGGAAGUACGGCCGCAAGGCUGAAACUUAAAGGAAUUGGCGGGGGAGCACAACAACGGGUGGAGCUUGCGGUUUAAUUGGAUUCAACGCCGGAAAUCUUACCGGGACCGACAGCAACAUGAAGGCCAAGCUGAAGACUUUGCCGGAUUAGCUG